This 429-nucleotide ribosomal RNA is filed under the name uncultured bacterium. Its description in RNAcentral is "bacterial SSU rRNA". It matches the Rfam family "Bacterial small subunit ribosomal RNA", at positions 335 to 780 of the family's 1533-position model. The record is from RNAcentral.
ACUCCUACGGGAGGCAGCAGUGGGGAAUAUUGCACAAUGGGCGAAAGCCUGAUGCAGCAACGCCGUGUGAAUGAAGAAGGCCUUAGGGUCGUAAAAUUCUGUCCUAAGGGAAGAAAAAGAUGACGGUACCUUAGGAGGAAGCCCCGGCUAACUACGUGCCAGCAGCCGCGGUAAUACGUAGGGGGCAAGCGUUAUCCGGAAUUAUUGGGCGUAAAGAGUACGUAGGUGGCUAUAUAAGCGCAUGGUGAAAGGCAGAGGCUUAACCACUGUUAGCCUUGCGAACUGUAUACUUGAGUGCAGGAGAGGGAAGCGGAAUUCCUAGUGUAGCGGUGAAAUGCGUAGAUAUUAGGAGGAACACCAGUGGCGAAGGCGGCUUUCUGGACUGUAACUGACACUGAGGUACGAAAGCGUGGGGAGCAAACAGGAUUA